This 121-nucleotide ribosomal RNA is filed under the name Diaphorina citri (Asian citrus psyllid). Lineage: Eukaryota; Metazoa; Arthropoda; Insecta; Hemiptera; Psyllidae. The record is from RNAcentral.
ACCAGCGGUAAUAGCACGUGGAAUACAUCAGUUUCCAAUGGAUCACGCUAAGCAACGAUGCGCGUGGUUGGUACACGGAUCACGGAUGGGUGACCAUGUGGGCGAUUGCGUGCUGCUGGCA